Molecule: long non-coding RNA, 644 nt
Organism: Lepidothrix coronata (blue-crowned manakin)
Lineage: Eukaryota; Metazoa; Chordata; Aves; Passeriformes; Pipridae
Exons: 3
Source: RefSeq, a predicted model, not a curated record
CCCGCGGGUCCGGGGAGCGAUGGUUGAAAAGGGCACUGGAGGGAGCCCGCCUUGGCAGCUGCCCCAGCCGCGACAGGAGAAGAACAACCACAGGAUGAAUAGUAUGGAGACAGUGAAGAUAUGCUUACCUGAAUUUCUCAGCCAUUUCUUGUGGGAGACCAAGAGAAGUUCAAUUAUGAAAUGUGGAAAACAGAAAUAGAUGUCUGCAAGGAGAUCUGCGGGACUCCCAAAAACAAUGCCUUUAGCACAUUUAAAUGACUGCUUGGACUGUUGUGAUUCUAUACCCAAGUUUAUGUUUUAAGCACAUUGUAUUUCUACCCCCCGUUUUACCCUAUUUUCCAAUUAUCAUAAAAAUCCCCAUUGUUCUGUAUUCCCUGUUAUUCCCCUUUUUCCUUAUUGGCUGUUCAGUGCUGCAUUGCAGUCUUUCCUUAAAUGGCUAACCUGUUGUUUCCAUUUGCUAACCUGUUGUCUAUCUCCCCGUCAAUCUUACCAUCCGAGGAGAUGAGGCUGCCUAGGUAAUUGAUGAUUAUUCCUUUCCAUUUAUGGUUAUGUCCAACCCCUACUUUCCUAAUAUGUAUCCUAUUAGCAUGCUCCUCCCUAGCUCCACCUACCCUUCCAGCACCUUCCAUCCUUCCCUUAUAUAA